RNAcentral lists this long non-coding RNA (239 nucleotides) under Lathyrus oleraceus (garden pea). Its description in RNAcentral is "Pisum sativum (pea) long non-coding RNA (PSAT_LNC028626)". The record is from RNAcentral. Lineage: Eukaryota; Viridiplantae; Streptophyta; Magnoliopsida; Fabales; Fabaceae.
UUUGUUAUGCAGGUUUGCUUGUGCGUGGGCUUGACAUUGUUAGCAUGGUCAUGAAUUUAAUUGGGUAUAAAACAACUUGAGAAGAUGGAAGAUUGAAGAUUGAAGUAGGAUAGAUUUUAGGAAUUUCAAGUCAAGAGUCAGAUUUGGGUCAAUGGUCAACAGUUGACCAAAUAUUUAAUUGUUGACCAAAAGUCAACUCUUGAACUUUCCUUGUAAUUUCCAUUUUGAACAUCUUCUCG